GUCAUAUGGAUUAGGGUAUCUUAUAUUAGGAUUCUUUGCAGUAUUAUGUUUCCAAGAAGUGUAUGCUUCUCAACCCGGACCGUGUCGAACAUUGCGGCAGACUUUCCCUGAAAGUAAAAUCAAGGGGAAAAUGUUGCAUCGUUCCAUGUUUUUAGAUGUGUUUAAGGAAAAAAAGAAGGAACAGAAUAAACUUUCUACGUGCUUUCCCAGUCAAUUUCCACUAUUACGAAUGAAGGAAUAUACGGUUAUAGGAACAGACAAUAAGGAUUUUGUGGUUUACUACAAAUGCAACUAUUUUACGGUGUCCAAGGAUCACAUAGAAUUAGUUAAUGUCUAUACGAGGGAAGCUAAACCAAGCCAGGGUGUGUUGACUGGAAUUUCCGAGGCUUUUUCGAAAAAUGGCCUGGAUGAAAGUAAAGUAUUAUCCUUUUGUUAAACUGACCCUAAUCCUGUGAAAGUUAAUAGAAGAAAAAAUUUUAUAAAACUAUAUAAAAUUUAUGUAAUAAACCACUCAUUUUUGAACCCAGUGUACCCAGACAUUGUUCGUCCCAGUGUAAUAAGGACAUUUCUCUAUCACCUCACUGUUUCUCCAUCUCCUGUUUUUUUCCUUGUCAUAAAAAUAUGCGACAUUUCGUUUUUAUCGCUUUUGAAAAACUUUAUUCCUCGCUCUUUGGUGUUCAAUUUCCCCUUGUUCUUUCCACUUGUUCAGUCUUUUUAUUAUUUUGUCGCUUUCUUCUGUUUCCAUAUUUUUUGUAUUUUUUAUUUUAUUUACAAUGGCAAUUUUCUUUGUUUUAAACAAGCAGCGCAUUGCUUUUUAUUUGUGACAUUCGAUUGGCGAUUGGAAAGCGUCCGAUUGGCUGCGAUUUCUGGGCAUCUAUGGUGGGGCAUGAUACAGUGGUAUAUUCUAUUUUAAAAAUGUUAGAUAAAAAUAUAA
Drosophila ananassae is the source of this 934-nucleotide long non-coding RNA. RefSeq lists it as uncharacterized. The record is from RefSeq and is a predicted model, not a curated record. The transcript is spliced from 3 exons. Lineage: Eukaryota; Metazoa; Arthropoda; Insecta; Diptera; Drosophilidae.